Molecule: ribosomal RNA, 849 nt
Filed under: gamma proteobacterium R18-5
Lineage: Bacteria; Pseudomonadati; Pseudomonadota; Gammaproteobacteria
Description: bacterial SSU rRNA
Rfam family: Bacterial small subunit ribosomal RNA
Source: RNAcentral
AUUGAACGCUGGCGGCAGGCCUAACACAUGCAAGUCGAGCGGUAGAGAGAAGCUUGCUUCUCUUGAGAGCGGCGGACGGGUGAGUAAUGCCUAGGAAUCUGCCUGGUAGUGGGGGAUAACGUUCGGAAACGGACGCUAAUACCGCAUACGUUUUACGGGAGAAAGCAGGGGACCUUCGGGCCUUGCGCUAUCAGAUGAGCCUAGGUCGGAUUAGCUAGUUGGUGGGGUAAUGGCUCACCAAGGCGACGAUCCGUAACUGGUCUGAGAGGAUGAUCAGUCACACUGGAACUGAGACACGGUCCAGACUUCUACGGGAGGCAGCAGUGGGGAAUAUUGGACAAUGGGCGAAAGCCUGAUCCAGCCAUGCCGCGUGUGUGAAGAAGGUCUUCGGAUUGUAAAGCACUUUAAGUUGGGAGGAAGGGCAGUUACCUAAUACGUAAUUGUUUGACGUUACCGACAGAAUAAGCACCGGCUAACUCUGUGCCAGCAGCCGCGGUAAUACAGAGGGUGCAAGCGUUAAUCGGAAUUACUGGGCGUAAAGCGCGCGUAGGUGGUUUGUUAAGUUGGAUGUGAAAUCCCCGGGCUCAACCUGUGAACUGCAUUCAAAACUGACUGACUANAGUAUGGUAGAGGGUGGUGGAAUUUCCUGUGUAGCGGUGAAAUGCGUAGAUAUAGGAAGGAACACCAGUGGCGAAGGCGACCACCUGGACUAAUACUGACACUGAGGUGCGAAAGCGUGGGGAGCAAACAGGAUUAGAUACCCUGGUAGUCCACGCCGUAAACGAUGUCAACUAGCCGUUGGAAGCCUUGAGCUUUUAGUGGCGCAGCUAACGCAAUAAGUGACCGCCU